CGGCCCUCGGCUGACGCCUCAGUCACACNCAGAUAAUCUGCCCUUAGAUGGACGAUAAUCUCGGGAAACUGAGAAUAAUAUUCCAUAGAUUUAGGAUGCUGGAACGCACUUAAAUUAAAAGCUUCGGCGCCUAAGGAUGAGUCUGCGGACUAUCAGGUUGUAGUCAGGGUAACGACCUGACUAGCCUACGACGGAUACGGGUUGUGAGAGCAAUAACCCGGAGAUGAUAUCUGAGACACGAUAUCAGGCCCUACGGGGCGCAGCAGGCGCGAAAACUUCGCAAUGUGCGAAAGCACGACGAGGGAAUCCCAAGUGCUGGCUCGUUAGAGUCAGCUGUUUUUAUGUCUAAAAAGCAUAGAGAGUAAGGGCUGGGUAAGACGGGUGCCAGCCGCCGCGGUAA
RNAcentral lists this ribosomal RNA (400 nucleotides) under uncultured archaeon. RNAcentral's name for it is "bacterial SSU rRNA". It matches the Rfam family "Archaeal small subunit ribosomal RNA", at positions 72 to 473 of the family's 1478-position model. The record is from RNAcentral.